This 413-nucleotide ribosomal RNA is filed under the name uncultured bacterium. Its description in RNAcentral is "bacterial SSU rRNA". It matches the Rfam family "Bacterial small subunit ribosomal RNA", at positions 352 to 782 of the family's 1533-position model. The record is from RNAcentral.
CAGUGGGGAAUCUUGCGCAAUGGGCGAAAGCCUGACGCAGCCAUGCCGCGUGAAUGAUGAAGGUCUUAGGAUUGUAAAAUUCUUUCAGCAGGGACGAUAAUGACGGUACCUGCAGAAGAAGCCCCGGCUAACUUCGUGCCAGCAGCCGCGGUAAUACGAAGGGGGCUAGCGUUGCUCGGAAUUACUGGGCGUAAAGGGCGCGUAGGCGGGUCGUUUAGUUAGAGGUGAAAGCCCAGGGCUCAACCCUGGAAUUGCCUUUAAUACUGGCGGCCUUGAGUAUGGCAGAGGUGUGUGGAACUCCGAGUGUAGAGGUGAAAUUCGUAGAUAUUCGGAAGAACACCAGUGGCGAAGGCGACACACUGGGCCAUUACUGACGCUGAGGCGCGAAAGCGUGGGGAGCAAACAGGAUUAGA